UUUUACCUAUUUAUUAUUUUAUAUUCUAUAUUCAGUUUCUUUAAGACUUCAAUUACUUGAUUUUUUACAUGUUUGGUUGCUAUAUGACUAGCUAUCAUUGUAUCAUAAUCAGAACCCCUUUCCAAUAAUUUAAACUUUAAUUGUUCGUCACUCAAGUUUGGUUCUCGUAUUUUUUCAAAAUGAUAUCGUGACAAUUUUGCCACAAUGAGCACUCGCUUCGGUACAAAGUUCGAUUCAUUUCGGAGGAAUAACCUAAGAUUAUUGGAAGCAUUGUACUUAUGCGAUUGUAAAAAUUAAAUGACAACUGUAUACAUUUGUCAUAGCAGUGUAACAAAUGUAUUUAAACAACC
Molecule: unclassified non-coding RNA, 350 nt
Filed under: Bombus terrestris (buff-tailed bumblebee)
Lineage: Eukaryota; Metazoa; Arthropoda; Insecta; Hymenoptera; Apidae
Description: misc RNA ENSBTSG00005036795.1
Source: RNAcentral